CAUGUCCGUUUGUAGUUGUAAAUGGUCCAAUCUGCCCACUGAUAAUUAAAUUAAAGGGCCGCAGUAUUCUAACUGUGCAAAGGUAGCAUAAUCGUUAGUUCCUUAAUUGGGAUCUUGUAUGAAUGAUUAGACAAAAAAAUUACUGUCUUUAUGAUAAAAAUUGAAUUUAACUUUUAAGUGAAAAGGCUUAAAUUAUUUAGAGUGACGAUAAGACCCUAUAAAGCUUAAUAUUUUAUAAAAAUGUAAAUAAUAUAUAAUUAUAAAGUUUUAAAUAUUAUGGAUAUUUUAUUGGGGUGAUAGAAGUAAAAUUAAAAUAACUGCUUUUAUAUAUAAACAAUUAUAAGUGAUUAAUUGUAAAGAUCCUGUAAUAUGGAGUAUAAGAUUAAGUUACUUUAGGGAUAACAGCGUAAUUUUUUUUAAGAGUUCUUAUCGAAAGAAAAGAUUGCGACCUCGAUGUUGAAUUAAAAUAUCUAUAUAAUUGUAGGAGUUAUAUAAGAAGGUCUGUUCGACCUUUAAAUUUUUACAUGAUUUGAGUUCAGACCGGUUUAAACCAGGUCGGUUUCUAUCUUUUAAUUAGGUUAUAAUUGCUUUA
RNAcentral lists this ribosomal RNA (592 nucleotides) under Fungicola fagei. RNAcentral describes it as "partial 16S ribosomal RNA". It matches the Rfam family "Bacterial large subunit ribosomal RNA", at positions 1826 to 2667 of the family's 2925-position model. The record is from RNAcentral. Lineage: Eukaryota; Metazoa; Arthropoda; Malacostraca; Decapoda; Cryptochiridae.